This is a non-coding RNA of Xenopus tropicalis (tropical clawed frog), 118 nucleotides long. The record is from Rfam. NCBI's taxonomy places the organism in Eukaryota, Metazoa, Chordata, Amphibia, Anura, Pipidae.
AAUGAUGAUGAUAAUGUAAUGUGGUGAUUGCUCUGUUUCACUAAAAUGGGGUAGGGUACUGGCACUAUUCACUGCAAAGAGGUAUACUCCUCAUAAAUGGAUAAAAUUGUCCUUAUGA